RNAcentral lists this transfer RNA (72 nucleotides) under Toxocara canis (dog roundworm). It matches the Rfam family "tRNA". Rfam says of the family: Transfer RNA (tRNA) molecules are approximately 80 nucleotides in length. Lineage: Eukaryota; Metazoa; Nematoda; Chromadorea; Rhabditida; Toxocaridae. The record is from Rfam by way of RNAcentral.
CGGGCAGUAGCUCACUGGUAGAGCUACCGCGUCACACAAGGGAAGACCUGGGUUCGAUUCCCGGCUGCUCAG